This 675-nucleotide ribosomal RNA is filed under the name uncultured bacterium. RNAcentral describes it as "bacterial SSU rRNA". It matches the Rfam family "Bacterial small subunit ribosomal RNA", at positions 8 to 722 of the family's 1533-position model. The record is from RNAcentral.
AGAGUUUGAUCAUGGCUCAGGAUGAACGCUGGCGGUAUGCCUAACACAUGCAAGUCGUACGAGAGUUUUUAACUCAAGUGGCGGACGGGUGAGUAACACGUGAGAAUCUGCCUUUAGGAGGGGGAUAACAACUGGAAACGGUUGCUAAUACCCCAUAUGCUUUCGAGUGAAAUAGAUUUAUCUGCCUAGAGAGGAGCUCGCGGCUGAUUAGCUUGUUGGUAGGGUAAUGGCCUCCCAAGGCGACGAUCAGUAUCUGGUUUGAGAGGACGAUCAGACACACUGGAACUGAGACACGGUCCAGACUCCUACGGGAGGCAGCAGUGGGGAAUUUUCCGCAAUGGGCGAAAGCCUGACGGAGCAAUACCGCGUGAGGGAAGACUGCCUAUGGGUUGCAAACCUCUUUUCUCAGGGAGGAACUCAAUGACGUGUACCUGAGGAAUAAGCAUCGGCUAACUCCGUGCCAGCAGCCGCGGUAAGACGGAGGAUGCAAGUGUUAUCCGGAAUCACUGGGCGUAAAGCGUCUGUAGGUGGUUUAAUAAGUCAACUGUUAAAUCUUGAGGCUCAACUUCAAAAUCGCAGUCGAAACUAUUAGACUAGAGUAUAGUAGGGGUAAAGGGAAUUUCCAGUGGAGCGGUGAAAUGCGUAGAGAUUGGAAAGAACACCGAUGGCGAAGGC